The sequence is a transfer RNA, 72 nucleotides long. It matches the Rfam family "tRNA". Rfam says of the family: Transfer RNA (tRNA) molecules are approximately 80 nucleotides in length. Their secondary structure includes four short double-helical elements and three loops (D, anti-codon, and T loops). The record is from Rfam.
GGGGGUAUAGCGCAGUGGUAGCGCGUCCGCUUUGCAUGCGGAAGGCCCCGGGUUCGACCCCCGGUUCCUCCA